Molecule: transfer RNA, 82 nt
Filed under: Priestia megaterium
Lineage: Bacteria; Bacillati; Bacillota; Bacilli; Caryophanales; Bacillaceae
Description: tRNA-Leu
Rfam family: tRNA
About the family: Transfer RNA (tRNA) molecules are approximately 80 nucleotides in length.
Source: RNAcentral
GCCGAUGUGGCGGAAUUGGCGAACGCACGACUCAAAAUCGUGUGGGGUAGCCCCCGUGUGGGUUCGACUCCCACCAUCGGCA